Long non-coding RNA from Limanda limanda (common dab), 1255 nucleotides. RefSeq lists it as uncharacterized. The record is from RefSeq and is a predicted model, not a curated record. NCBI's taxonomy places the organism in Eukaryota, Metazoa, Chordata, Actinopteri, Pleuronectiformes, Pleuronectidae. The transcript has 2 exons.
AGGAUGAGGACAGUGAUGUCUCUUUGGAGGACACCUGUAGGAUCACAGGAUUCCUUCGCACAUUUAUUGAGAACGCAUCUCCUAACUUCCUUGGGAAACUCCUGCAGUUCUGGGUUGGAUGGAGUGUGCUUCCCAGACAGUUGGAUGUUGAGGUGGUGGAGAGCAACUUCCCCAAGUCUUCCACCUGCUUCCACCUGCUGAAAAUCCCAGGACAUUACAAAGAGUAUGGAAACUUUGAAAGAGACAUUCUCGCUGCUAUUUGUAGCACUGACACUGGGUUUGGAAUGGUCUAAUGAGACAGUAUAGUUUUGCCACUGUAUAACACUGGUGCAAUAAAGCCGGCAUGUUUUCGAUAUAGUACAGCAUAUGUAAUUUAGUUCAUUAUGCCUCUGUCAGUUAAACACACUGUUCACUAAGCGAAAUUGUUUAAAAGCCAGUUGUUGCUGUUAUUUAUUUAAUAUAUUGUUCUGAAAAAAAAUGUAGAAGCUCCUUAUUUCUACUUAUGUUAAAAUUACCUCAUCCAUAUAAAACAAAUGUAAUAUCUAUCAAAACAUUGCGAUUCAGCAAUGGAAUUAGAACUGCGCUAAAGCAAAGCACUGUGUCUUUAUGUAACUCACACAUUCUGCAUCAUGGAGCUUGUGAGGGAGGAAUUUACUGGAGCAUUUCUGAUAAUAAGCUCACAGUUUGGACAUAGACAUCAAAAACAUCAGACAGAGGGCCACUGGGGUCUGGUAGAUUUUCAGCUUCCUGCUCAGUCAGUGAGCGCUGCAGCUGAGCUUCAGGGAUCACAACACCAGGUUGACGGUGACCACAUGGUCCAGUCCAGUCGAUUCCAAACUCCAUGUCAACCUGCAAUUGGAGGAGCUCUUGUUAAAGGGUUAGUUUAGCCAAAAUCUCAGUUAAAAUGGCAAAAAUCCUUACAGAAUUAUAAGCCACCCUCAGUCAAUUCGAUUUACAGGAACUAGAUUGAAACAAAACUUGUUUUAUCAUCUCUUGGGAUUCUGGAUAAAUCUUCGAUGAAUAACAUCAGCAUCAAAAAGAGAGAUUGUUUAGAAUUCUCAAAGAGCCAAUAACUUAAUUUAGAGUACUGAUGCAGGUUUACAUUUACUUUGUUAUAUACCUUAUACUGUAUUAUUUCCCACUGCUACAUGUUGUUACAACAGUAAACAGUUUUUGUAAUUUCCGAUAAAGUUGUGAGAAUGUUGACAUUGUUCCAUGUAUGACAGUUAUAGUAAAAAAUAAAAUUGCCUGUAUA